RNAcentral lists this ribosomal RNA (468 nucleotides) under uncultured bacterium. RNAcentral describes it as "partial 16S ribosomal RNA". It matches the Rfam family "Bacterial small subunit ribosomal RNA", at positions 28 to 507 of the family's 1533-position model. The record is from RNAcentral.
GACGAACGCUGGCGGCGUGCUUAACACAUGCAAGUCGAACGGAAAGGCCCUGCUUUUGUGGGGUGCUCGAGUGGCGAAAGGGUGAGUAACACGUGAGUAACCUGCCCUUGACUUUGGGAUAACUUCAGGAAACUGGGGCUAAUACCGGAUAGGAGCUCCUGCUGCAUGGUGGGGGUUGGAAAGUUUCGGCGGUUGGGGAUGGACUCGCGGCUUAUCAACUUGUUGGUGGGGUAGUGGCUUACCAAGGCUUUGACGGGUAGCCGGCCUGAGAGGGUGACCGGCCACAUUGGGACUGAGAUACGGCCCAGACUCCUACGGGAGGCAGCAGUGGGGAAUAUUGCACAAUGGGCGGAAGCCUGAUGCAGCAACGCCGCGUGCGGGAUGACGGCCUUCGGGCUGUAAACCGCUUUCGCCUGUGACGAAGCGUGAGUGACGGUAAUGGGUAAAGAAGCACCGGCUAACUACGUG